AUGCAACUCGUCACCUGCGGCCGGACGGCGGUCAACAUCAAUGGUGAGAUCGGGCCCUACUUCCCCACCUUAUGCGGGGUGCACCAAGGAGACCCGUUCUCCCUGUUUCUCUUUAACAUGGUGGUCGAUGCCCUUGCUGUCAUCCUAGAUAAGGCCAAGGCCUGCGGCCAUAUUCGGGGUGUGGUUCCUCACCUUGUUGGUGCGGGAGGGGUCUCCCUCCUCCAGUAUGCAGACGACACCAUUAUCAUGGUU
This 252-nucleotide ribosomal RNA is filed under the name Triticum aestivum (bread wheat). RNAcentral describes it as "partial small subunit ribosomal RNA". The record is from RNAcentral. Lineage: Eukaryota; Viridiplantae; Streptophyta; Magnoliopsida; Poales; Poaceae.